CGGACGGGUGAGUAAUGUCUGGGAAACUGCCUGAUGGAGGGGGAUAACUACUGGAAACGGUAGCUAAUACCGCAUAACGUCGCAAGACCAAAGAGGGGGACCUUCGGGCCUCUUGCCAUCAGAUGUGCCCAGAUGGGAUUAGCUAGUAGGUGAGGUAACGGCUCACCUAGGCGACGAUCCCUAGCUGGUCUGAGAGGAUGACCAGCCACACUGGAACUGAGACACGGUCCAGACUCCUACGGGAGGCAGCAUG
RNAcentral lists this ribosomal RNA (253 nucleotides) under uncultured bacterium. RNAcentral's name for it is "partial 16S ribosomal RNA". It matches the Rfam family "Bacterial small subunit ribosomal RNA", at positions 99 to 353 of the family's 1533-position model. The record is from RNAcentral.